This 255-nucleotide ribosomal RNA is filed under the name uncultured bacterium. RNAcentral's name for it is "partial 16S ribosomal RNA". It matches the Rfam family "Bacterial small subunit ribosomal RNA", at positions 524 to 776 of the family's 1533-position model. The record is from RNAcentral.
GACAGAGGUGCCGAGCGUUAGGCGGAAUCACUGGGCUUAAAGCGUGUGUAGGCGGGUCGUUAAGUACCUUGUGAAAUCCCCCCGGCUCAACCGGGGAACGGCUGGGUAUACUGGCGAUCUUGAGCCACCUAGGGGCAGUCGGAACAAGUGGUGGAGCGGUGAAAUGCGUAGAUAUCACUUGGAACGCCAAUGGUGAAAACAGACUGCGUGGGGGUGUGCUGACGCUGAGACACGAAAGCCAGGGGAGCAAACGGG